CAGCCGCCGCGGUAAUACGUAGGGUGCGAGCGUUAAUCGGAAUUACUGGGCGUAAAGCGUGCGCAGGCGGUUAUAUAAGACAGAUGUGAAAUCCCCGGGCUCAACCUGGGACCUGUAUUUGUGACAGUAUAGCUAGAGUACGGUAGAGGGGGAUGGAAUUCCGCGUGUAGCAGUGAAAUGCGUAGAUAUGCGGAGGAACACCGAUGGCGAAGGCAAUCCCCUGGACCUGUACUGACGCUCAUGCACGAAAGCGUGGGGAGCAAACAGGAUUAGAUACCCCAGUAGUCCCUGUCUCUUAUAC
RNAcentral lists this ribosomal RNA (301 nucleotides) under uncultured bacterium. Its description in RNAcentral is "partial 16S ribosomal RNA". It matches the Rfam family "Bacterial small subunit ribosomal RNA", at positions 509 to 807 of the family's 1533-position model. The record is from RNAcentral.